RNAcentral lists this ribosomal RNA (274 nucleotides) under uncultured prokaryote. RNAcentral describes it as "partial 16S ribosomal RNA". It matches the Rfam family "Bacterial small subunit ribosomal RNA", at positions 524 to 798 of the family's 1533-position model. The record is from RNAcentral.
UACGUAGGUGGCAAGCGUUGUCCGGAAUUACUGGGUGUAAAGGGUGCGUAGGCGGUCUUUCAAGCCAGAAGUGAAAGGCUACGGCUCAACCGUAGUAAGCUUUUGGAACUGUAAGACUUGAGUGCAGGAGAGGAGAGUGGAAUUCCUAGUGUAGCGGUGAAAUGCGUAGAUAUUAGGAGGAACACCAGUAGCGAAGGCGGCUCUCUGGACUGUAACUGACGCUGAGGCACGAAAGCGUGGGGAGCAAACAGGAUUAGAUACCCUCGUAGUCCCU